Molecule: long non-coding RNA, 1844 nt
Organism: Chrysemys picta bellii (western painted turtle)
Lineage: Eukaryota; Metazoa; Chordata; Testudines; Emydidae
Source: RefSeq, a predicted model, not a curated record
UCCCCUCCCCCUGCGAGCUCGUUUCGUCACCAGCACCCAGGGCCAUCUAAACCGAGCCGCUAACUCCGCGCUCGAGCCCGAUUCCUGCCCCCUGGGCGCAGGUUUCAGCGGUGGGCGCCCACGCUCGGCUUUCCUCCGGAGACUCGCCCUCGGCCCGUGUGUGCUGGCGGCUGCUUUGCAAAGCCGAGCGCAGAAAGGAGUCACCCAAAUACAACCCUGUCCGCCGUUCGGCCUCUGCCCAGCGCUCGAGAUUUUGCAGCAAGCGGGCCGCGGCUUGAGAGGGGGUUUGAGGCACUGCCACAGCAGGGAACUGGGUGGAUGUCGUGGCGUUCAGACUAGAUAAACCCCCUGGCGCUAGUUUCUAUUGAGCAGCUAGUUCCUUGGCCCGCACGAAUGCGGUUAUCGCGACAAGUCACGAUCGGGCCCAGAGUCUCUGGGAAACGAACAUGCUUCAUUUCCAGAUCUGGGUCCUUCCUGGUGCGAGGCAGCAGAUAACUUUCCUAGACCGAGCCCUUCACAGAGGGUCUGCGCCUCUCCGCUGGUUGUCUGCCAACACUUUGCAGCUUCAGCGGCUACCGCUCCGCAUGCAAGGGUUGCUAGUCUAAUCCGGAUUACAUUACUCACACCGAUACCACACCCACCUUCGCUCUCCCAUACACACGUACACAGGAGAAUCACCAUGGAGACUAGCCCUUGUAACAGCCUCUGCCCGAGCUUUGUAUUGAAUCAGGUGGCUAGUACUUGCAAAAAGAAGGGAUCAUCUUUUCUAGAGAGCUCGGUGUCUUCUAAACAGCUGCUAAAGCCACGCCAGCGUCUGUGCCUAUCGACCCGUCCCCGCCCCCUCUCCUAUAGCCCGCACGGAUAAUGACAGCCUAGCCCUGCGGUUCCCCUUGGGACGCGGAUUCAACCCUUCUGCCGUCUACACAGCCACGGCCAGGCGGUCACACGCCUCCGAGCCCCAGCGGAGCUUGGCACGUUCAAAACCUCCGGGCUAUUUUGUGAAGCGAGGGAAUAAGCUCAGCUGGGGCGCAGUGAAAUUGCAAUUUCUUCUCCCACAGCCCGGCCACGCCGAGCGCAAACCCCACCUUCAGCCCAGAUUUAUGACACCAAGCAGACUCCUCCCCCACGCGGCUCACUUAACCCUUCCUGCGCUCCCCCGGGGACCCUCCACCGCGCCGCUUUCCCCGGCUCCGAGGUGGGCUUGUGGUUUUUAAAGCCUCCCUGCGGGAGCACGCGCCGCUCCUUAACAAAAAGGUCCCAGGGACCGGGCAGCUCAGAGGCGAUCGCGACUCCCAAUCGCCUAGAGUCUGCUCCUGCACCACCGGGACAUAAGCGGAGCCAAGUGCGUUCAAUCAGCUUUAAGUGCCAUGGAAACCCCUGGAUCGCCUCCAUCUCCCAAACUGAGGGCUUUCCUGCAAACUUCACACUCAGGAAUCCAUGACGUCUCCCAGCUCCGGGCCAAGGCAGCUCUGUGGCUUUUCUCAGUCUGCAGCACAAGCACUUAAUUGUUGAGCCGAAAGUUACCGAGCGCGAGAGAAAUAUGGAUGAUGUUACAAAUCCCAGUGUGUGUGUUUUUAACCAAAACUUGCAGGCACUGCAAAAGCUUUCAAAGCAACGGGGCUUCUGUGCAGCUUUCUCUCGUCCCAGCAGAGAAGCUCAAGCUGCUGUUUUUUACCUUUGCAUAAAAACAUUCAGAAAACUCAGAUCCCCGUCGCUGAUUUAAAGUCUUUGAAAUUUGCCAGCGCCCUAAUAAUAUCCAUCUUGUUAUUGGCACCGGCUUUAGCUCCUCAUUGGCACUGACUCGAUCCUUCAGUCAAUAAAUAUGGCUAGUGUCAUUUCACAAA